Sinocyclocheilus anshuiensis is the source of this 95-nucleotide small nucleolar RNA. The record is from Ensembl. NCBI's taxonomy places the organism in Eukaryota, Metazoa, Chordata, Actinopteri, Cypriniformes, Cyprinidae.
UUUGGUAGCAAUGAUGACUGAUCUUUUUUCCCCAGCAGAUCGACACUGUUGACUUUGUAUAACCAAAAAUAAGCCAUAUGAUCUGAGCAACCAUA